Molecule: transfer RNA, 77 nt
Filed under: Eubacteriales Family XIII. Incertae Sedis bacterium
Lineage: Bacteria; Bacillati; Bacillota; Clostridia; Peptostreptococcales; Anaerovoracaceae
Description: tRNA-Arg
Rfam family: tRNA
About the family: Transfer RNA (tRNA) molecules are approximately 80 nucleotides in length. Their secondary structure includes four short double-helical elements and three loops (D, anti-codon, and T loops). Further hydrogen bonds mediate the characteristic L-shaped molecular structure. tRNAs have two regions of fundamental functional importance: the anti-codon, which is responsible for specific mRNA codon recognition, and the 3' end, to which the tRNAs corresponding amino acid is attached (by aminoacyl-tRNA synthetases). tRNAs cope with the degeneracy of the genetic code in two manners: having more than one tRNA (with a specific anti-codon) for a particular amino acid; and 'wobble' base-pairing, i.e. permitting non-standard base-pairing at the 3rd anti-codon position.
Source: RNAcentral
GGGCUCAUAGCUCAGCUGGAUAGAGCAACAGUCUUCUAAACUGUGGGUCGCAGGUUCGAAUCCUGCUGGGCUCGCCA